This 423-nucleotide ribosomal RNA is filed under the name Triticum aestivum (bread wheat). RNAcentral's name for it is "partial small subunit ribosomal RNA". Lineage: Eukaryota; Viridiplantae; Streptophyta; Magnoliopsida; Poales; Poaceae. The record is from RNAcentral.
AUGGGACAGAUCCAGUGGAAGCUGCCGGUGGUCGCCUCUUUGGAGGCGUCGAGGACUACCGCAUCCUCGAUUGUCUAUUCUUUUGAUCUCUGUUCACGCAGCAGAACUGGUAGGGGGACAUCCUCAACUGCGACGAGGAGAACAGCAAGAUCGAACGCAAGGUUCUUGAUCCACACUUUUCGCCACAACCUGGAGUGGAGGAUGGUUGAAAACAUGACUGUUUGUGGUUCCAUUGCAGAGAAACAGGCACAAAUUUUUACAGAGGAGUGCAAGCCUUUUCCUGAAGAUGUCCAAAUACAAUCAAUUUACCCCUGUGCAAGUGCAUCCAAUUUGAUGCUUUUGUCUUACAAGGUGCAGAUUUCUAGCAACCAUAUAAUUACGAAAUGGUCUGAUAUAGCAGAACUAGAGUUGAAGCUCUCUUGA